RNAcentral lists this long non-coding RNA (4119 nucleotides) under Eucalyptus grandis. RNAcentral describes it as "long non-coding RNA (EGRA_LNC004293)". The record is from RNAcentral. Lineage: Eukaryota; Viridiplantae; Streptophyta; Magnoliopsida; Myrtales; Myrtaceae.
AGAAAACAGAGAGAAUUUUGGGAGAAUGAAGCAAAACAUAUCUAAACUGCGCAAACAUGUGUCAAGGUGGAAGUGCCAGAAUCAGAAGGAUUCCAAGCAGAGAGCAUAAUUAAACAAUCGACUGGAUUAUUCUCGAUCUAGUAAAUAACAUCCAACAACUGAUCAAAUCCUUGGUCGGUAGGUCAAUGUGCACAUUACUGUUCCCGUGACAUACGGCAUAUAUAAUGUCAUUAAACAUAUAUUGCUGCAACAAAUAAAAACAGAUCAACUAAAUUAAGGCAAACCAACCUAGCACCAAAUGCCGCCACUGAAAGCCAUAAGCUGGUCCUAAGUCACCUUCCUCUUGAUCUUUCAGCCCAAGUCUAAAAUAGACAGGACAAAUGUCAUCAAGGUAAAGAAACAAAUAACCAUUACCAAUACAUAUUUGGUCCUCAUGAAUCAGAUGCGAAAUGGUCAAGGUAGUCCCUAGAUGCAUUGAUAUCCCGUAUAUGAAUGCCUUUUCCCCGAAGAAUCUGUUGGAAAAUGGGCAUUCUCAAACUAGUCUCAUACCAACAUUAGACAGUCAAAAGAGAGUUUCUUAAAGGCAAAAGGAUAUAACCAGGACACCUUCCAAGGGAUGCGUGUGCAAAUUACAUGUCCCAAUUAGGAGCAAAGGCAAUUAAGCCCAUAUGGGAGUUAUCGCAUCAAUCCACUUUUCAUAUAAGUGUCACUUUAGAUCCCUGAAUUGCAACUUCAGCAACAGUUUGUAUUCGCUUCAAGCAUUACAAUUUCCCAAACUCGACUUCAUGGAGUCAACACUCCUUUAAAACAUACAUCCAGGGCCUAUUCAUCAAUUAAAGGAAGAAUAAUCUUACAUGCUUGGUUGAACCAUCAUUGCCUCUCAAAAUAGAUAUUUCAUAUUUUCAAGUUAAACUUCCUUCUUAGGUGAUAUUUUUUAGCGAAUUAUAAACAUGAGUGCAGUUCGAUCUUGCAGGUCCAAAUGAUACAUUUAACGUUCCUCAACCAAUGAUUCUUACUUGUCACUAUCGGACAAAACAUAAAGUCUAUGUAUGUCCUGGCAAAUAUGUCAAUCGGUUUUUAUAGUCAGGUAGGUUAAGAUUUCCACAGGUUGUCUUCAUGAUCUAAUUAUGGCAGCCUCCAGGGAAGUUUUCCAUCCUUGCCUAUACAAUCAAGUUGCAGCAACAAGUAGGAAAGUCCUUUGGCGAUCAGAUGGAGUCCCAUUACCUUUGCCGUUUAGUGAGGGUCACUGAGACUUCACCGGCCAUUACAGAACUCAAAGGCCGAAAACAACCAAAAGAUAGCAGCUCGAAAUGAAGGCUGCACAACCNNNNNNNNNNNNNNNNNNNNNNNNNNNNNNNNNNNNNNNNNNNNNNNNNNNNNNNNNNNNNNNNNNNNNNNNNNNNNNNNNNNNNNNNNNNNNNNNNNNNAGCAGCUCGGAAUGAAGGCUGCACAACCCACCUCUUUGGAAAGUGUGGCAGAACUGAAAAUUGUUCAGAAAGAGAUAGAUGCCAUUAGAUUAAAAUUGCACACAUAUACGAAACCCAGCAGAGGAGUUAUCUUUAAAAUCUAAAAAGAACAGUGGAAAGCUGAAAAAUGGUAUGGUAUAGUGGCAACAAUGGGAUCCUGAAAUCCGUGACAGCAGCAGCUGAAAAUUAUGCCCACAGAUCAUCAUCUCAGAAAAAAGUGGUCUGCGUCUAUGAAUAAAACGAAUCAACCAGGCUGUACAUAUCAUCAAACAAAGAAAGCCUCCUUACUAAGCUGGAUUUCUCCCAAGUCACUUGCACUUAACUCGACACAGUGGAGGAAAACUCCAAAUCUCAGUGCCUCUCUUUUGGCAUCACAUUAAGGCCUAAUUAUGCGAGGCAAAGAUUAAUCUCUUAACUUUCAGGCAAAGGCAUUUGAAUUGAACAAUUUCUACAGCCAAUAUAACAAGUCUCAAAAACUCAACCACAGUCAGGCUCAGGUUAUUAUUCAGGUAUAAUAAUUGAUAAUGAAACAGCGGACGCAUCUAUCUUGAUCUUGAGAGAGAGAGAGAGAGAGAGAGAGUCAUGCCUUCUUCUUCUGCUUUCUACCACAAGACUUCACAGGCUUAAACGAGUGAGGCGGGGCUUUGCCCUUCUUAGGAGCCUAUGAGUUAUGACAAAUGAAAAACGAAUUUCAGAGAAAUGCAACGAAGAAGACAUAUAGGGAGUCUGAUGAUGAUGACUGGAAUAUGUACAGCAACUCAGAGUUUCCAGACCUGCUAAACAUCAUGAUGGAAAAAACCAUAUGAUUUCAAAGGUUUAUCUGUCUCUGAGCAAGCAGGAGCUAUGCAUCCACAGACAGAAUUUAACGAGAUAGCAAGAUGAACGAACGUCAAAAUCACCUUAGAACCACCAUGAUUCUGGGGGGACUAAAGGAUUCUCACUUCCUAAAUUGUCAACAUUAAGUACAUCCAAUUAAGAAUUCCCUCUGUAGGACAGGAACACGUAAUCUUUGGGAACCCAAAAGAAAAAUUAAGAAAGAAAAAUAAUCAGUCUCAAGGAACAAUUUCUGCAGCAAUGUAAUAGGCCUCAAAAACUCAACCAGAGUCAGCUCAGGUAUAACAAUUAAUAAUGAAAUGGCAGCCGCAUCUAUAUCAAUCUUGAACUUCUUCUGAAUGCCUAGACUCUCAACUACCACACCACUACUGUACAACUAAUAUUAAGGAAUAGCUGGGCGACAAGACUGGACUCGAUUACUAAACUAAGAUAGUAGGAAAAUCAAUGAGAAAUAAGUACACAGAUAUUCUAUUAUAAUUGACAGGGCCUUCUUUAAUAUCACUGGAAACGGUUGCAAUCCCCAAACGUUUCCUAAAACCAUGUGCUGUUAAGGGCAUGGUGCUAAAAUUGUCUACCAUUAGUGUUCUGACUAAGAAGAUAAAGCUAACAAUGUUAGAGGCAAUAGGAAAUUAGGGAAUUCAUACCUACCAUAUAUAAAAUUGUCAAGGAAGUCCAUCAGGAAUGUCACCAAAUCUUUAACUCUGAUCUGCCAUUUUCAUUUCUAGUUUAUCAUGAGGGUCAUAUCCAAUGAGUUUGAAAUCAGCUGCUACAAAAGAGCCUAUAUCCUUCCUCUCUGGGUUUAUCUUUAAAAUCUGUACAUGUGAACAAGAGUUUAGCAAGUACAAGAGAAGAUAAGCUGAGUCAGAACAAUGAAAUGAAAGAGAAGGGACCAUCCUGCAAUUUUACUGCAGAUUACUCACAGUAAAGGGCUUGACGUGCUUUCUGAAGGUGUUCCUGCACAGGUUUAACAUGGGUACAAUAAACAUGAGCAUCCCCAAUACCGUGCACAAAAUCACCGGGAGAAAGAUCUGCAGAAGAAAAACUUGAAAUAAGCGCUUGUUCCCAUGUUUAUAUCCUCCUAUCAAUGGGAUACUUUUCGCCCCUUAGGCUGGGGAAUCAAAGGUAGGAAUCAUCUAGCAACCACUAGUGUAAACUAUUAUAGCAGUAAUCCUUGUGAUGCAUUUUUUAUAGAAGCAUAAAUCCUUUCCGACCAGUAUUCUAUAAGAAGCAUAAGAAAGGCAUCUGUGAGUCACUUUUCUCCUCACAACAGCAAUUACAGUAUUCCAAAACUCUCUUAAUUAAUACUAGUCAAUAGCCAUUACAAACGAUAAGGAUAAGUAACAUACCACAAAUAUUGGGACAUUUUUUUCUAAAGCAUAUAUACAUACCACAAACAUGAGCAAUCGUGCAUGUAAGGAGAGCAUCAGCAGCGAUGCUGAAUGGCACCACCAAUCCCAUGUCAGCAGAACACCGAUACAUUUGAGACGACAACUUCCCAUUUGCAACAAAAAAUGGCAAAGGUAAAAUUAGGUUAACCAAAGAGAGAGGAAAGAAAACAGAGAGAAUUUUGGGAAAAUGAAGCAAAACAUAUCUAAACUGCGCAAACAUGUGCCAAGGUGGAAGUGCCAGAAUCGGAAGGAUUCCAAGCAGAGAGCAUAAUUAAACAAUCGACUGGAUUAUUCUCGAUCUAGUAAAUAACAUCCAACAACUGAUCAAAUCCUUGGUCGGUAGGUCAAUGUGCACAUUACUGUUCCCGUGACAUACGACAUAUAUAAUGUCAUUAAACAUAUAUUGCUGCAACAAAUAAAAACAGAUCAAC